CUCAUCGACCGGACACAGCAGUAUAUCACAAACCGCGAUCAGGGCGAUAAGGAAGACCCUGCAAGACCUGAGAUUAGUAGACGCAUGGAGAACCUUACACCCGACAGCCCGGGAUUAUACGCACUACUCAGCCAUACACAGGAGAUACUCACAUAUUGACUGCAUUCUCAUACAACAAGAAGGCCUGCAACCAUUGCAAUCGGCG
This is a non-coding RNA of Pelobates cultripes (western spadefoot toad), 205 nucleotides long. Lineage: Eukaryota; Metazoa; Chordata; Amphibia; Anura; Pelobatidae. The record is from the annotation of a GenBank genome assembly.